UACGUAGGUGGCGAGCGUUCUCCGGAAUUACUGGGCGUAAAGGGCGUGUAGGCGGCCUUUUAAGUCAGGCGUGAAAGCCCGUGGCUUAACCACGGGAUUGCGUUUGAAACUGGAGGGCUUGAGGAUCGGAGAGGGCAGUGGAAUUCCCAGUGUAGCGGUGAAAUGCGUAGAUAUUGGGAGGAACACCAGUGGCGAAGGCGACUGCCUGGAAGACACCUGACGCUGAGGCGCGAAAGCUAGGGGAGCAAACGGG
RNAcentral lists this ribosomal RNA (253 nucleotides) under uncultured bacterium. RNAcentral's name for it is "partial 16S ribosomal RNA". It matches the Rfam family "Bacterial small subunit ribosomal RNA", at positions 524 to 776 of the family's 1533-position model. The record is from RNAcentral.